UUCGGAUUGCAGUCUGCAACUCGACUGCAUGAAGUUGGAAUCGCUAGUAAUCGCGAAUCAGCAGGUCGCGGUGAAUACGUUCCCGGCCCUUGUACACACCGCCCGUCACGCCAUGAAAAUUGGUAGCAUUCGAAGCGGGUGACCUAACCCUUCGGGGAAGGAACUCUCUAAAGUGAAACCGAUGAUCGGGGCGAAGUCGUAACAAGGUAGCCGUAGGGGAACCUGCGGCUGGAUCACCUCCUUU
This 244-nucleotide ribosomal RNA is filed under the name Candidatus Poribacteria bacterium. RNAcentral's name for it is "partial 16S ribosomal RNA". It matches the Rfam family "Bacterial small subunit ribosomal RNA", at positions 1292 to 1533 of the family's 1533-position model. Lineage: Bacteria; Candidatus Poribacteria. The record is from RNAcentral.